RNAcentral lists this ribosomal RNA (1033 nucleotides) under uncultured bacterium. RNAcentral describes it as "bacterial SSU rRNA". It matches the Rfam family "Bacterial small subunit ribosomal RNA", at positions 336 to 1393 of the family's 1533-position model. The record is from RNAcentral.
CUCCUACGGGAGGCAGCAGUGGGGGAUAUUGCGCAAUGGGGGCAACCCUGACGCAGCAACGCCGCGUGAAGGAUGAAGGUUUUCGGAUUGUAAACUUCUUUUAUUAAGGACGAAAAAUGACGGUACUUAAUGAAUAAGCUCCGGCUAACUACGUGCCAGCAGCCGCGGUAAUACGUAGGGAGCAAGCGUUGUCCGGAUUUACUGGGUGUAAAGGGUGCGUAGGCGGCUUUGCAAGUCAGAUGUGAAAUCUAUGGGCUCAACCCAUAAGCUGCAUUUGAAACUGUAGAGCUUGAGUGAAGUAGAGGCAGGCGGAAUUCCCCGUGUAGCGGUGAAAUGCGUAGAGAUGGGGAGGAACACCAGUGGCGAAGGCGGCCUGCUGGGCUUUAACUGACGCUGAGGCACGAAAGCGUGGGUAGCAAACAGGAUUAGAUACCCUGGUAGUCCACACCGUAAACGAUGAUUACUAGGUGUUGGAGGAUUGACCCCUUCAGUGCCGCAGUUAACACAAUAAGUAAUCCACCUGGGGAGUACGACCGCAAGGUUGAAACUCAAAGGAAUUGACGGGGGCCCGCACAAGCAGUGGAGUAUGUGGUUUAAUUCGACGCAACGCGAAGAACCUUACCAAGUCUUGACAUCCUGCGACGAUGCUGGAAACAGUAUUUUCCUUCGGGACGCAGAGACAGGUGGUGCAUGGUUGUCGUCAGCUCGUGUCGUGAGAUGUUGGGUUAAGUCCCGCAACGAGCGCAACCCUUACUGUCAGUUACUACGCAAGAGGACUCUGGCAGGACUGCCGUUGACAAAACGGAGGAAGGUGGGGAUGACGUCAAAUCAUCAUGCCCUUUAUGACUUGGGCUACACACGUACUACAAUGGCGUUAAACAAAGAGAAGCAAGACCGCGAGGUGGAGCAAAACUCAGAAACAACGUCCCAGUUCGGACUGCAGGCUGCAACUCGCCUGCACGAAGUCGGAAUUGCUAGUAAUCGUGGAUCAGCAUGCCACGGUGAAUACGUUCCCGGGCCUUGUACACACCGC